Molecule: unclassified non-coding RNA, 542 nt
Filed under: Hevea brasiliensis (rubber tree)
Lineage: Eukaryota; Viridiplantae; Streptophyta; Magnoliopsida; Malpighiales; Euphorbiaceae
Source: RNAcentral
GCUUCAAGGACACCUUACUGGUAAAUAUUUCUCUGGUUUGCUGCUUUUUGUUUGUGUGAAUUGUGAUUCGCUAUAGAAGUGGUGAAGUUGAAAUGCGAAUUUAGAGUGAGUUGCUAGCGCUAAUAGAUAGUGGUGAGUUUGUAUGUGUGAAUGAUUGAAGUCGCUGUUUCUUUUCUUUACUUUUGUUUGGUUACUGGGUUAAUCUAUUAUCUAGAACAAUACCCUUCACUUCAGCUACGUUAGAAGGAGAAACAGAUUUCAGGUUAAAUGCAAUCCGUGUGCGCAAUAGCUAGUUUGAAUAGUGAAGAUUUGAAAUGAUUUGUAAUUGUUGAAUUAGAUAGCACAAGUUUGUCCACUAUUUGCUAUAAUAUGCAAUUAGGAUUAAAUUUAGUAGGGAUAGUAAAAUUGACAGUGCUUCAACUUUUAUCCAGUUUCUAUUUUAGUAUUGGGCUUUAAUUUUUGCAAUCAAGUGCUUAAACAGAUUAAUAAUUUCUUAUCAAGUGCAUUUAGCUAUAAUUUCUUAUCAGAAUGUCCGUUUUGAC